RNAcentral lists this ribosomal RNA (1059 nucleotides) under Salimicrobium sp. D10. Its description in RNAcentral is "bacterial SSU rRNA". It matches the Rfam family "Bacterial small subunit ribosomal RNA", at positions 35 to 1065 of the family's 1533-position model. Lineage: Bacteria; Bacillati; Bacillota; Bacilli; Caryophanales; Bacillaceae. The record is from RNAcentral.
GGGGGGGGGGGGGCUUAUCAUGCAGUCGAGCGCGGGAAGCGAGCUGAAGCCCUUCGGGGUGGACGCUCGUGGAACGAGCGGCGGACGGGUGAGUAACACGUGGGCAACCUACCUGUAAGACCGGAAUAACCCCGGGAAACCGGGGCUAAUGCCGGGUAACCGUUCGGUUCUCCUGAACCGAACGUAAAAGGAUGGCUUCUUGCUAUCGCUUACAGAUGGGCCCGCGGCGCAUUAGCUAGUUGGUAAGGUAACGGCUUACCAAGGCGACGAUGCGUAGCCGACCUGAGAGGGUGAUCGGCCACACUGGGACUGAGACACGGCCCAGACUCCUACGGGAGGCAGCAGUAGGGAAUCUUCCGCAAUGGACGAAAGUCUGACGGAGCAACGCCGCGUGAACGAUGAAGGCUUUCGGGUCGUAAAGUUCUGUUGUGAGGGAAGAACAAGGAUCGUGCGAACAGAGCGGUCCCUUGACGGUACCUCACGAGGAAGCCCCGGCUAACUACGUGCCAGCAGCCGCGGUAAUACGUAGGGGGCAAGCGUUGUCCGGAAUUAUUGGGCGUAAAGCGCACGCAGGCGGUUCCUUAAGUCUGAUGUGAAAGCCCGUGGCUCAACCACGGAGGGCCAUUGGAAACUGGGGAACUUGAGAACUGAAGAGGAGAGUGGAAUUCCACGUGUAGCGGUGAAAUGCGUAGAUAUGUGGAGGAACACCAGUGGCGAAGGCGACUCUCUGGUCGGUUUCUGACGCUGAGGUGCGAAAGCGUGGGUAGCAAACAGGAUUAGAUACCCUGGUAGUCCACGCCGUAAACGAUGAGUGCUAGGUGUUAGGGGGCUUCCACCCCUUAGUGCUGAAGUUAACGCAUUAAGCACUCCGCCUGGGGAGUACGGCCGCAAGGCUGAACUCAAGGAAUUGACGGGGGCCCGCACAAGCGGUGGAGCAUGUGGUUUAAUUCGAAGCAACGCGAGAACCUUACCAGUCUUGACAUCCUUGGCUACUUCUAGAGAUAGAGUUCCCUUCGGGGACCAAGUGACAGGUGGUGCAUGGUUGUCGUCAGCUCGUGU